Molecule: long non-coding RNA, 1186 nt
Organism: Sarcophilus harrisii (Tasmanian devil)
Lineage: Eukaryota; Metazoa; Chordata; Mammalia; Dasyuromorphia; Dasyuridae
Exons: 2
Source: RefSeq, a predicted model, not a curated record
UACUCAGUUUCCUUAUCUGUAAAAAUAGUGAUAAUAAUAGCACCUACCUUCUUAAGAGGACAAAACAAGAUAACAAUGUAAAUGUAAGUUCAGUUUCAUAAAAAUGUUAAAUGCUGGCAAUGGGGCAAAGGAGACUUUCUCUAUAUUGGACAGGUAUGAAGUUCAAAAUCAACCCUUCAUGAAUUCCUAAAAUACUCUAACUGUGCUAACAUGUCCAGGGAAAAGGCUAAUUGAAAUCACCACAAGUAUCUUUCUUAGAGGAGAAAAAACCCGAACCUUUUCCAGCAAAUGCAUUUAUGGUUUUAAGUCACAGAAAAUAAAGUCAAGAUGAGUUCUGCAACAUGAAGAGGAGUGAUAUAAAAUAUCAUGGAUGAAUUUACUGGGAAACAUUUUGUUUCUGACAAUCACUAAAGUGAUACUGAAAACUGGGAAUGCUGGUAGGUUUGAAAAAAAGACACCUCCUUGUCACCAAAAAAGUAUUCCCAAACUCUAGGUUUUAAUUUUCUCACUUUCAUCAUGAGGCAGUUGGGCUAGAUAUCUUUAAGGAACCUUCCAACUCUAAACACCUUGAUCUAUCAACUCAAGCUCUUAACCAGUUGGUAUUCCAAGUUAGAUAAUGGGUGAUGUAAGUAGUUCUAGAAGCUUUCUGGUUAAGAGAGAAGCAUGAGAAAAAGAGAAGAAAAUGAGCAUCAAAAUCUCCCUAAAGUACAGCCACAUAAGACCAAAUGGCCCAAUGAUUUUCAUCUUUUAACUGUAUUCAGAAUAGGAGGACUUUUAAACAUCUUGAUAUCAUUCAUUCCACUCUCUUUUGGUUUUCCUGACUUUUGGUUCUUGUGGGUAAAAUUAAAGAAGGCUUAGAGUGAUGGAAAGUUCCUUAUGAAGGCACCAUAAUAACAGGAAUUUAUAUUUUAGGAAGCCAAGGGAGAGCAAUUUAGUUUUUAGUUGGAAAUAGGCAGACUUUCUUAUUAGUCAGAUUUAUAUUUAAAAUGACUUCUACUAGCAUUUAACAUGUUUGAACAGCUAUUACCCUAACCUGUUUCAUAACCAGGCAAUGCUCAAGUAGUAUAUCUCACAUACAUGGCAGUCUGACUGACAUGGCUCAUGACCAUGAGAGAGGGGGAGAGCCUUACCUGCUUAUGCAGUAGAAAGCAAUGAGUCUGAAUAAAUCUGCAAAACUGAUCCCAGA